RNAcentral lists this long non-coding RNA (459 nucleotides) under Vulpes vulpes (red fox). RNAcentral describes it as "lncRNA (ENSVVUG00000015041.1)". The record is from RNAcentral. Lineage: Eukaryota; Metazoa; Chordata; Mammalia; Carnivora; Canidae.
GUCUUCUCCCCCAACCCCCAUCUUCUUCUUCCUUGGGAUUUGUUGAAAAAAUGGGAUUGACUUGUAGAAUUUCCUUCGUUGCAGGGUGCUUUGUAUCUGCUUAUCUUACAAAACCAUUUAUGCACAACUCCGGUGCUAUUGUUUCUGCCAGAAGUGGAUUUAACCACUUUCACAUUGUGAGGCUUCUUCGGAGAACACCCAUAGUGAUUCACAAAGCAAAGCCAAAUCUUGGGUACUUGGCUGUGCCUCAGCUGACAUCCAGGCUUCAUCACAUCUAAGUAGCCCCAUAGGUCUCAAGGAGGAGUAGAUGAGAAUACUGAGAGCCUUCAGUUUGGGACAUACUAGCAGGAGGAGAGAUUGAGAGGAUAACACCUGGAUAUGUUCAGAGACAGAUAACCAGGCAAGAUCAACAUCCACUCAGCUCUCAUCAUGAGAAUAAAGAAAACUUGAAAUUGUUCA